AUUCUGCAUAUUUCUUCUCUUACAGAGAGGGCAAACAAGGACAGAUAUCAGUUACAAGAUGUGUGGAACACAUAGAUAAUCUAGCACUCUAUUGGGAAGCUCAUUUGUGUGAAGAAGAUCCAGUAACUUUCCACUUACAUCACCCAGUCUCUUAAAUCUUAUUUUUCCUCAACCUCCCUGAUUCCUCUUUCCUCAUUUUUUCACUCCUCUGAACAUCACAGAACAGAAGGUUUACAUCAAUUAAAAGGUUGGCUUGGAUUCUCUAACAGGCUACCAGGUUCCAGACGCUACCAUGAUGCCAGCCUGACUUCCCUGGGUAGACCACCUCACCAAUAUGUCCUGGAACCCUACCUCUCCAGAGCCCUGCCCCACUAGGGAAAGAGAGAGACAGGCUGGGAGUAUGAAUUGACCUGCCAAUGCCCAGAUUAUUUAAAACAAUGGUGAAGAAAUGCACUAGAGGAGAAACAACCAGAUAAAGCAAUGAAAAAUCAACCAGAACAUUGCAACAUUGAAACAGGAAGAUUUGAACAAAAAAAAAAAAAAAAAAAAAAAAGGAGUGACAGUUGCAGAAACUACCAUGAUUCCAUUCUGAUUUCUCUAGGUAGACAACCUCACCAACGUGUCCUGGAACCUCGCCUCUCCAGAGCUCUACCCAACUAGAUAAAGGUAGAAACAUAUUGGGGGUAUGGAUUGACCUGCCAAUGCCUAUGUCGAGUGCAGAAGCAAUUACAUAAGCCGGAACUAUUACCUUAUGCACCCCAACAAUAAUUUUGAUCUAUACACCCAGUAGGGGAGAAGUGAUAGGAGGAAAAGGAUAAGAGGGUUAUCAGGACCCAGAGAGAGAAGAGGAAAAAGGAAGGGACAUUUGGAUGCAGUAAUAGGUUAUGUAUGGUUUGGAAAGGAAGAGAAGAUGGAACCAUUAAAAAAAGGGGAGGCAAUUAUAAUUUCUUCCUUAAUUUCUUCUUUGACCCAGUAGUUGGCAGUACUCUUUUCCACCUAAACUUUACAGGCAUAUUUAAUGAUACAAAUCCAAUUACAGAGAAGACUGAAACAAAAAUAAACCAGUAGGACUACAUCAAAUUAAAAAGCUUCUACACAGCAAAAGAAACCACCACCCAAACAAUGAGACCCUUUACAGAAUGGAAGAAGACCUUUACAUGCCACACAUCAGACAGGAGACUAAUAACCAAAAUAUAUAAAGAGCUUACCAAACUCAGUAACAAGAAAAUGACUCUAUCCAAAAAUGAGGAGAGAAUAUGAACAGAAUAUUCACCAAAGAAGAGAUCCAAAAGGCCAAAAAAACAAAAAGAAAAAAUGUUCCAAGUUAAUGAUUGUCAGAAAAAUGCAAAUAAACACAGUAAGAUACCACUUCACUACUGUGAGAAUGUCAUAUGUCAGAAAAGGUAGCAGUAACAAAUGUUGGAGAGGCUUUCGGGACAAAGGAACCCUCCUGGACUUCUGGUAGGAAUGUAAAUUCAUCCAGUUCCUGUGGAGAGCAGCCUAGAGAACUCUCAGAAGGCUAUAAGUGGACCUACCCUAUGGCCCUGCAAUUCGUCUCUUGGAGAUACAUCCCAAGAAACCAAACACACCCAUGCAAAAAGAUUUGUGUAUACCUAUGUUCAUAGCAGUAAAAAUUUGUAAUAGCCAAAAACCUGGAAACACCCCAGGAGCCCAACAACAAAUGAAUUGCUAUGCAGAGCUAGCGUGAGGGUAUUUCUUCCCAGGCACAUGUUCUCUGGGUUGGAGAGAACUCGACCAGAGCCA
Molecule: long non-coding RNA, 1764 nt
Organism: Erinaceus europaeus (western European hedgehog)
Lineage: Eukaryota; Metazoa; Chordata; Mammalia; Eulipotyphla; Erinaceidae
Exons: 4
Source: RefSeq, a predicted model, not a curated record